RNAcentral lists this ribosomal RNA (451 nucleotides) under uncultured bacterium. RNAcentral describes it as "bacterial SSU rRNA". It matches the Rfam family "Bacterial small subunit ribosomal RNA", at positions 354 to 796 of the family's 1533-position model. The record is from RNAcentral.
GUGGGGAAUAUUGGACAAUGGGGGGAACCCUGAUCCAGCCAUGCCGCGUGUGUGAAGAAGGCCUUUUGGUUGUAAAGCACUUUAAGCGAGGAGGAGGCUACCGAGAUUAAUACUCUUGGAUAGUGGACGUUACUCGCAGAAUAAGCACCGGCUAACUCUGUGCCAGCAGCCGCGGUAAUACAGAGGGUGCAAGCGUUAAUCGGAUUUACUGGGCGUAAAGCGCGCGUAGGUGGCCAAUUAAGUCAAAUGUGAAAUCCCCGAGCUUAACUUGGGAAUUGCAGUCGAUACUGGUUGGCUAGAGUAUGGGAGAGGAUGGUAGAAUUCCAGGUGUAGCGGUGAAAUGCGUAGAGAUCUGGAGGAAUACCGAUGGCGAAGGCAGCCAUCUGGCCUAAUACUGACACUGAGGUGCGAAAGCAUGGGGAGCAAACAGGAUUAGAUACUCCGGUAGUCC